AGAUGUAAGACCUAAUGGAGAUUGUCAGGCACUGAGGAUAUGUUCUUGUGGGACCUAGUCUUUCUGCUCUCCUCUUUUGGCCUGAGGUGAGCCACUGUGUUCCACUCUCACUGGCUUCACGUUCACCACAGAGAGCUAGACGUGUUAUACAGCCAUGAGUUAGCCACCCAAAGCAGUCAGUGGAAAUAAACUUUCUUCUGUUUGAGAUGAUUAUAUCAGAUGGGGGUGGUUUAGUGUGUGUGUUCAAUGCAUGUGUGUUUCUGUGCAUAUACACAUUGAAAGACCCCAGCUUAGCAGCAGUAACGCCAUUUUGCAAGGCUGUACUUAAGAUGACUGGUUCAGAGAAAGGUUAAAACACUGAGUACAAAGCAGCUGCCAAGCAGGAUGUGUUUGGUUGAAGGCCUGGCAACAGGACGACUGCGGUUGAGCACCUGACAAUGAAAAAAGCCCUGGGAGAGGUCCCACACCCUGGUGGGGGGCCGAGUCAGUCGUUAUGUUCCAAGAAGGUAGCUAGGAAACUUGCCCCCGGGCUGAACCCUUGGGGGGCCGAGUCAGCCGUUAUGUUUCAGGAAGGUAGCUAGGAAACUUGCCCCCGGGCUAAACCCUUGCCAUAUUAGAAUCCACCAAUUAUAUCCCUGUAACCAUGCAUCUGCUUCUGUAUGCUUGCUUCUGCUCCCCAAAAUCCUAUAAAAGCCCAUCCUUGGUUCUGUGGGGCGCGCCAGUCCCCCGAGUGACUGAAGCGCCCGCAGGUGCCUGUGCCUGUGUAUCCCGACAAUAAACCAAAUCCUCUUGCUGAUUGCAUCCUGUGGUGUCUCGGUCUGGUCUUUGGAGUUGGAGGGUCUCCAUCCCGAGGGAAAGUUCUCCCUGAGAGCUUUUCAUUUGGUGCGUUGGCCGGGAAAGGAGAUCCUCCACCCAGGGACCACCGACCACCCACUGGGAGGUAAGCCGGCCGGCGUCUGUCUGUCUGUCUGAUUUUGUCUCGUUCUGUCUUAUUCUGUCUGUUCUGUGAGCACUCAGCCAGGUCUGUUCUGUGAGCGCUCAGCCAGGUCUGUUCUGUGAGCGCUCAGCCAGGUCUGUUCUGUGAGCGCUCAGCCAGGUCUGUUCUGUGAGCGCUCAGCCAGGUCUGUUCUGUGAGCGCUCAGCCAGGUUGUUUGGAAUUUGGGCGGGACGAAGAAGGAGCUGACGAGCUCGGACUUCUCGCCCCGCAGCCCUGGAAGACGUUCCAAGGGUGUUAGGGGCCCGACUUUUCGGGGCCCAAUCUGGGAGAGGAGAAAGAUCCAGACUAACGGCACCUCUGUCUGUAUUUUUGGCUUUCAGAGGGCCCCGGACCUUUGCCACCUCCAUCUGACUUUUUGCUUUCAGUUUGGUACCAAAGCCGUGCAGCACGCCUGUCUGUUGUUUGUUUGACUGUUGGUGUUGUUUGUUUUCUCUGUGUUCUAAUCUUCCUUAGAACUAACAUGGGACAGUCCCUAACAAUGCCCCUAAGUCUCACUCUUGAUCAUUGGGAAGACGUCCACGACCGGGCACACAACCAGUCCGUCGAGGUUAAAAAAAAAAGGAAAAUGACAGACUCUCUACACAUCUGAGUGGCCCACUUUCGGAGCGGGAUGGUCAGUGAAUGACACAUUUAAUAAGAUCAUUAUUUUACAGGUUAAAGAUCGGGUCGUCCACGGACAUCCUGACCAGGUUUCUUAUAUUAUCACUUGAGAGAGUCUCGCCUUAAAACUCCCCCCCUGGGCGGAACCCUUCGUGGACCCGAAUUGGCCUCCCCUCAACCCCCAGCCUGUCCCCUCGGCCCCGCCCGGUCCGCCGGCCACGUCUUCCUCUCUCUACCUUUGUGAAAUCAGAGCCUUCUAAGAAACCUGUCCUCCCGGCAGACCCAAACUCCCCUCUCAUAGAUCUUCUCUCUGACAGGCCAGGCUAAAACGGAGGAGGCAGAGCCGCCGGCCAGAUCAGUUGCCGGGCCACAGUCUGAUAAGGGUUUCUCCCCUGUCGCAGGGAGAUUGCGCAAUAAGCGCGAGGUGAUGCCAGAUUCAACCUCCCAGGCUUUCCCACUUAGACAGGGAACCGGUGGCCAGACCCAAUACUGGCCGUUUUCAGCAGCUGACAUUUACAAUCAGAAACAAAACAACCCUUCUUUCUCCAAAGAUCCGGUGGCACUCACCGACCUAAUAGAAUCUGUUUUACUUACCCACCAGCCUACUUGGGAUGACUGCCAACAGCUCUUAUAGGCCCUCUUAACCUCAGAAGAAAAACAAAGAGUGUUCCUAGAGGCCAGAAAGCAUGUUCUGGGAGAUGAUGGGCGUCCCACCCAGCUGCCUGAGGACCAAACUGGGAUUUUAAUACAGCUGAAGGUAAGGGACACCUACGCCUUUAUCGCCAGUUGCUUCUAGCGGGUCUCCGAGGGGCUAUACGACGCCCUACUAAUUUGGCUCAGGUAAAACAGGUAUUACAGGAAGCAGGGGAAACUCCCUCCGCCUUUCUAGAGAGACUUAAGGAGGCCUACCGUAUGUACACUCCCUAUGACCCAGAUGACCCAGGACAAAUGACGAGUGUCUCUAUGUCCUUCAUCUGGCAGGCUGCUCCAGAUAUCAGGACUAAGUUACAGAGGUUAGAAAAUUUGCAGGGCUAUACAUUACAGGAUUUACUUAAAGAAGCUGAAAAGAUUUUUAAUAAGAUAGAGAAUUGAGUCGAAUCUUGGCCGCCGUAGUUCAGGGCCAAGAAAGGAAGGGAGAUAGGGGGGAGCUCGAAAGGGGCUGAAGCUGGAUAAAGAUCAAUGUGCCUAUUACAAAGAGAAAGGGCACUGGGCCAGAGAGUGCCCCAAGAAGCCUGGCGGACCCCGAAAGCCUCGACCACGAACCUCCCUCUUGGCUCUAGAUAAAGAUUAGGGAGGUCAGGGCCAGGAGCCCCCCCCCCCCCCGAGCCCAGGGUAACGCUUAAAGUUGGGGGGCAGCCGGUUACUUUCCUGGUAGACACAGGAGCCCAGCAUUCAGUCCUCACUCAAGCUUCAGGACAACUCAGCGACCAGACGGCCUGGGUACAAGGAGCUACUGGUGAGAAACAAUACCGAUGGACUACGGACCGCCGGGUUCAGCUGGCUACUGGUAAGGUGACCCAUUCCUUCUUACAUGUUCCGGACUGCCCGUACCCUCUGCUGGGCCGUGACCUGCUCACCAAACUAAAAGCACAAAUUCAUUUUGAGGAAAGAGGGGCCCAAAUAACUGGCCCCCACGGAACUCCCCUUCAAGUUCUAACCCUACAACUAGAGGAUGAAUAUAGACUAUAUGAACCAGGACAGGACAAGCCACAAUCCCUAGAAAUAGACACUUGGGUCACGAAUUUUCCACUGGCUUGGGCAGAGACUGGUGGGUUGGGGUUGGCGCUCCAACAGCCCCCCUUAAUUAUACAGUUAAAGACCACUACAACUCCAGUCUCCAUAAAACAAUACCCCCUGUCACAUAAAGCUUAUCAAGGUAUAAGGCUUCACAUUACGAGGCUUCUAGAUCAAGGCAUCCUAGUCCCCUGCCGGUCGCCUUGGAAUACGCCUCUUCUGCCUGUUAAGAAACCCGACACUGGAGAUUAUAGGCCAAUACAAGACUUGAGAAAGGUCAACAAGAGGAUAAAAGAUAUUCAUCCGACUGUUCCAAACCCUUACAAUUUGCUAAGUAACUGUUCAUCGAUGAAAAACAGGGGUAUGCUAAAGGGUCCUAACACAAAGGUUGGGACCCUAGAAACGCCCUGUGGCCUACCUGUCUAAAAAAUUAGACCCUGUGGCCUCCGGCUGGCCACCGUGCCUAAGGAUGGUGGCUGCUAAUGCUGUCCUGAUCAAGGAUGCUAGAAAAUUGACUUUGGGACAGCCACUCACCAUCCUAGCACCCCACACAGUGGAGGCCUUGGUAAAGCAGCCCCCAGACCGCUGGCUCUCUAAUUCCCACAUGACCCACUACCAAGCCUUGUUACUGGAUGCAGAACGGGUUCAGUUUGGGCCCGUAGUCGCCCUCAAUCCUGCCACCUUGCUUCCUCUACCAGAGGAGGCAGAACAACAUGACUGCCUACAAAUCCUCACAGAAGUACAUGGAACCAGGCCGGACCUAUCGGACCAGCCUCUUCAGAAUGCUGACCACACAUGGUACACGGAUGACAACAGCUUCUUGGCAGAGGGAGAGCGAAAGGCUAGAGCUGCGGUCACUACGGAAGACAAAGUGAUUUGGGCGAAAGCCCUGCCUGCUGGUACCUCCGCACAACGGGCUGAACUCAUCGCCUUGACUCAGGCGCUCAAGAUGACAAAAGGUUAGAGGCUAAAUAUAUAUACAGACAGCCGUUAUGCCUUUGCCACGGCACACAUCCACGGAGAGAUCUACCGGAGGCGGGGGCUGCUCACAUCUGAGGGUCAAGAUAUGGCUAAAAUUCUGGCCCUCUUAGAAGCCCUAUUCUUGCCCAAAAGACUGAGUAUUAUACAUUGUCCAGGACACCAGAAAGGGCACAACCCAGAGGCACGAAGAAACCGGCUGGCCGAUGCCACGGCGCGAGAAGCGGCCAUGAGCAAACAAAUCUUGCCCUUAAAUAGCCCAGACCAACCCACGCCCCCACCAGUGGGACAAACCAGUUGGGUUUAUGCCCAUGAGGACAUAGAGCUCCUAAAAAAAUGGGGGCCAUCUACCACCCUCAACUAAAACAGUGGGUCUACAAAGGACUUUUGAAUUGAUCUCCUUUUUACAUAAAUUAACCCAAUUGGGGUUUAAGAAGAUGAAAACCUUACUAGAUCGGGAAGAGAUAAAUCUGUGUUUUUUGAAUCGGGACAAAGCGAUACAAAAGGUGACUGAGAGUUGCAAAGCAUGCGCUCAGGUUAACCCGGGAAGGACCAGGAUUGGACAAGGAGUUCGUCCUAGGGGACACCGUCCCGACAUCCAUUGGGAAAUUGAUUUUACUGAAAUUAAACCAGGUAUAUAUGGAUACAAGUAUCUCCUAGUGUUUGUAGACACCUUCUCAGGAUGGGUCGAAGCCUUCCCCACAAAGCACGAGACUACAAAAAUGGUCACUAAGAAGCUCCUCGAGGAAAUCUUUCCCAGGUAUGGCAUGCCUCAAGCGUUGGGGUCGGACAACGGGCCCGCUUUCGUCUCCCAAGUAAGUCAGUUGGUGGCCAAAUUGCUGGGGAUUGAUUGGAAAUUACAUUGUGCCUAUAGACCCCAGAGUUCAGGUCAGGUAGAACGCAUGAAUAGAACAAUUAAGGAGACUUUAUCCAAACUUACGCUUGCAACUGGCUCAAAGGAUUGGGUGGCCCUCCUUCCCCUAGUUCUAUAUCGGGCCCGGAAUACCCCGGGCCCCCAUGGUCUAACUCCUUUUGAAAUAAUGUAUGGAGCACCACCCCCAUUUGUCCAUUUCUUUGAUUCAAACAUUGCUGAUUUUGCUGACAGCCCUUCUCUGAGGGCCCAUUUACAGGCCCUACAGAUUGUGCAGAGAGACGUCUGGAGACCUUUGGCCGCUGCUUACCAGGACAAGCUUGAGCAUCCGGUGGUGCCACACCCGUUCCAGAUUGGAGACACCGUGUGGGUGCACAGACACCAGACCAAGAAUCUCGAGCCACGGUGGAAAGGACCCUACACCGUCCUCCUGAGAUCCACGCACGUCAAGGCAGUCCGGUCUGAGGAAUUGACUAAUCACAACACUACACCCCAGACAUGGAGAGUUCAGCGCACUCCAAACCCCUUAAAGUUAAAACUCCUACGUGGCUCCUCCUAGCCCUUUUGUGGCCUAGAGUCAGUGGGGGAAUAAGCCCCCACUAGACAGAAAUUUCUUGACCAAGUCGAGUGAAAGAUUUCACUCAAAGUUAGCAAAAAAAAAAAAAAAAAAGGGGGAAUGAAAGACCCCAGCUUAGCAGCAGUAACGCCAUUUUGCAAGGCUGUACUUAAGAUGACUGGUUCAGAGAAAGGUUAAAACACUGAGUACAAAGCAGCUGCCAAGCAGGAUGUGUUUGGUUGAAGGCCUGGCAACAGGACGACUGCGGUUGAGCACCUGACAAUGAAAAAAGCCCCGGGAGAGGUCCCACACCCUGGUGGGGGGCCGAGUCAGUCGUUAUGUUCCAAGAAGGUAGCUAGGAAACUUGCCCCCGGGCUAAACCCUUGCCAUAUUAGAAUCCACCAAUUAUAUCCCUGUAACCAUGCAUCUGCUUCUGUAUGCUUGCUUCUGCUCCCCAAAAUCCUAUAAAAGCCCAUCCUUGGUUCUGUGGGGCGCGCCAGUCCCCCGAGUGACUGAAGCGCCCGCAGGUGCCUGUGCCUGUGUAUCCCGACAAUAAACCAAAUCCUCUUGCUGAUUGCA
Non-coding RNA from Rattus norvegicus (Norway rat), 6315 nucleotides. NCBI's taxonomy places the organism in Eukaryota, Metazoa, Chordata, Mammalia, Rodentia, Muridae. The record is from RefSeq and is a predicted model, not a curated record.